AGCGAACGCUGGCGGCAGGCCUAACACAUGCAAGUCGAACGAACCUUUCGGGGUUAGUGGCGGACGGGUGAGUAACACGUGGGAACGUGCCUUUAGGUUCGGAAUAACUCAGGGAAACUUGUGCUAAUACCGAAUGUGCCCUUCGGGGGAAAGAUUAAUCGCCUUUAGAGCGGCCCGCGUCUGAUUAGCUAGUUGGUUGAGGUAAUGGCUCACCAAGGCGACGAUCAGUAGCUGGUCUGAGAGGAUGAUCAGCCACAUUGGGACUGAGACACGGCCCAAACUCCUACGGGAGGCAGCAGUGGGGAAUCUUGCGCAAUGGGCGAAAGCCUGACGCAGCCAGGCCGCGUGAAUGAUGAAGGUCUUAGGAUUGUAAAAUUCUUUCACCGGGGACGAUAAGGACGGAACCCGGAGAAGAAGCCCCGGCGAACUUCGG
RNAcentral lists this ribosomal RNA (433 nucleotides) under uncultured bacterium. RNAcentral describes it as "partial 16S ribosomal RNA". It matches the Rfam family "Bacterial small subunit ribosomal RNA", at positions 29 to 506 of the family's 1533-position model. The record is from RNAcentral.